Notolabrus celidotus (New Zealand spotty) is the source of this 1188-nucleotide long non-coding RNA. RefSeq lists it as uncharacterized. The transcript is spliced from 9 exons. NCBI's taxonomy places the organism in Eukaryota, Metazoa, Chordata, Actinopteri, Labriformes, Labridae. The record is from RefSeq and is a predicted model, not a curated record.
GUGUGUAUUUAGUCUCUGUGUUUCCUCCCUUCUGUUUCAGUUUGUUGAGUCUUACCUGUGUCUCGUCCCCUGUGAAUCUAUGUGGUUCUUCAUUGUGGAUUUUUGGAUUUACCCCUCCUGUGUUGUUGUUGAUGGACUUCUGUUUGGAAGGAUAUCUUGGACAUUUGAGUUUUGGGACACUUGAAAGACACAACAGCAGAGGAGGCUAAAUUGGUCGACCGGGGUGUAUGAUGAACCAUUUUCCAGCCCAAUUGGACUUCAGCGGCCAUCAGAAAAAGCUCUUACUCCACAUCAGAUUGGAUUUGACCUCCUCCAGCACUGGAGAAAACAUCCACAGAUCUUCCCAAAUUUUGCUCUGGUUUGCUCCUCAGUCGUCCCUCUCCUCCACCUGUGUUUCAAAGAUUGUCUUCAUCCGUCACUGAGAGCAUGAUGUGGGGGAUCGCCAUCAUCAGAAGACUUCUCCUGGCACCUGGAUCUCUGCUGAUGACGCACAUCAGCCUGACCUGCCUGUCUAUCCUUGAUCAGCUCAUCAGCUUGGCAGAAUAUGAACCUUGACUGCUCACCCAUCCAGUGCCAGAUCAUUGUCUCUGCCACGGUGGGAACACAUGGAUAACAUCUCUCCUGCAUCUGUUCCCUGAAACCUUCCAUCUGCCUCGGCAAUAACAGAGAUCAUCAAGAAGAGGAGGGAGACAGCAACACAAAGACCUGUAUCGUAAUCCUACAAGCCGGUGAUGUUUAUGUCCCUGCAUGAGUGUGGCCUCACUCAGACUCAGGACUGUAUAAGGAAGCUCAGUCUGCAGUGUCAGUGCAGGGAAGGAAAUGUUAAGAGUCUGCAUAGCAUCAUCACCCAAAUGACAAAAAGAGCUGGAGGUUGUGUGUUCCUACAUGCCUGCAGUACCAAACACACAGAAGCCAUCAUUAUUUCCUGCAAUUACCUUCAGCACCUGCCUACCUCUGUCUACAGCUUGUCUGCGUGCUCACCUGUCAGCAUGUAAAUCUCAAAGAGCUCCUUUUCCUACUGUUGCAUGUCUUUGUUCUGCUGAAGGGAUCAGGGACAGCUGAAGGAAAGCCAGGAAAAUUCAAGGACAUCAUGCAAAGAAGACAAAUGCAAAGUGGGUAAUUUUUGCUCUCAUUUAAAGAAAGUCAAGCUGAAGACAUGCAACACUAUGAUUAAAAUUGUCUUGAUGA